RNAcentral lists this long non-coding RNA (459 nucleotides) under Carica papaya (papaya). RNAcentral describes it as "long non-coding RNA (CPAP_LNC002382)". Lineage: Eukaryota; Viridiplantae; Streptophyta; Magnoliopsida; Brassicales; Caricaceae. The record is from RNAcentral.
UCGAUUUCAGACCCCAAAACAAGUAAGGACCCCUCACCCUAUUUCCUAUCACGGUAUUAAAGCUAAAUAAAUAAUUAAACUGUACUGUGUGACUUUAUAGAUGCAUAAUUGAUUUAGGUUACCAAUGGAGCCUGAGUCUGAUACAUUGUUGGUCAGUUGUUGUUUGGUCUAAUUUUCAGUAUUAAAUGCAGUAUGAUGUUUGAUGUAAUUAUGUUAUGGUCUCGUAUGCAUGAAUCAUGGUUUCUUUUAUUAUGGUUUGUAUUAUGGCGAACCCAAUACUGUGUUGUCUUGUUUGGUAUCAAUUACUAGUUUACAUGUUGUGUAUGAUUGGAUGAUUGAGAUUAAGGAAAAAGGCAAAAAGGUUAUGUGAAUUGAUAAGUGGAUAAUGUAGACAGCCUAACUAGAUAUCCUGAGAGAUGGUGGACGGGCCGGGUCCGUAGGGAACCCUACCGGGAACGU